Molecule: ribosomal RNA, 500 nt
Filed under: uncultured Myrionecta
Lineage: Eukaryota; Ciliophora; Litostomatea; Cyclotrichida; Mesodiniidae
Description: SSU rRNA
Rfam family: Eukaryotic small subunit ribosomal RNA
Source: RNAcentral
AUGAUCUCAAGACUAGCCAUGCACGUCUAAGUACAAACUAAAUGAUGGUGAAACUGCAAAUGGCUCAUUACAACGGUUAUGAUGUACCCGGGAGUUCCGAUGGAUAUUUCCAGUAACACUAGAACUAAUACAUGUCCCUGCGUUUAUUAGUUUCGCACAGUCCGUCGCUGAGUCAUGGUAAACAGUUGAUCGACUCGACGUCCCGGAACAGUUUCCGCCCCAUCAGCUUCGAUGGUUGGGUAUUGGCCUACCAUUGCAACAACGGGUAACGAGGAAUUAGGGUUUGAUUUCGGAGAGGGAGCCUGAGAAACGGCUACCACAUCUACGGAUGGCAGCAGGCGCGCAAAUUACCCAAUGCAGACACUGUGAGGUAGUGACGAGAAAUAAUAAAGCGGGACUUCUGUUUCGCUAUUAUAAUGAGGAAUAACCAAAGGUCAUUCCGAUUAGCAACUGAUGGGAAAGUCUGGUGCCAGCAGCCGCGGUAAUACCAGCGUCAGUAG